This 515-nucleotide ribosomal RNA is filed under the name uncultured bacterium. RNAcentral describes it as "partial 16S ribosomal RNA". It matches the Rfam family "Bacterial small subunit ribosomal RNA", at positions 28 to 523 of the family's 1533-position model. The record is from RNAcentral.
GAUGAACGCUGGCGGCGUGCCUAAUACAUGCAAGUCGAGCGAAUGGAUUAAGAGCUUGCUCUUAUGAAGUUAGCGGCGGACGGGUGAGUAACACGUGGGUAACCUGCCCAUAAGACUGGGAUAACUCCGGGAAACCGGGGCUAAUACCGGAUAACAUUUUGAACCGCAUGGUUCGAAAUUGAAAGGCGGCUUCGGCUGUCACUUAUGGAUGGACCCGCGUCGCAUUAGCUAGUUGGUGAGGUAACGGCUCACCAAGGCAACGAUGCGUAGCCGACCUGAAAGGGUGAUCGGCCACACUGGGACUGAGACACGGCCCGGACUCCUGCGGGAGGCAGCAGUAGGGAAUCUUCCGGAAUGGACGAAAGUCUGACGGAGCAACGCCGCGUGAGUGAUGAAGGCUUUCGGGUCGUAAAACUCUGUUGUUAGGGAAGAACAAGUGCUAGUUGAAUAAGCUGGCACCUUGACGGUACCUAACCAGAAAGCCACGGCUAACUACGUGCCAGCCGCCGCCGUAA